GUGCUCGCUUCAGCAGCACAUAUACUAAAAUUAGAACGAUACAGAGAAGAUUAGCAUGGCUCCUGUGCAAGGAUGACAUGCAAAUUCAUGAAGCGUUCCAUAUUUUU
This 107-nucleotide small nuclear RNA is filed under the name Cervus hanglu yarkandensis (Yarkand deer). Lineage: Eukaryota; Metazoa; Chordata; Mammalia; Artiodactyla; Cervidae. The record is from RNAcentral.